This 220-nucleotide ribosomal RNA is filed under the name uncultured bacterium. RNAcentral describes it as "partial 16S ribosomal RNA". It matches the Rfam family "Bacterial small subunit ribosomal RNA", at positions 524 to 735 of the family's 1533-position model. The record is from RNAcentral.
UACAGGAGGGGCGAGCGUUGUUCGGAAUUACUGGGCGUAAAGGGCGCGUAGGCGGCCUGCUAUGUCGAACGUGAAAUCCCUGGGACUCCAACCCAGGAACUGCGUCCGGAAACUGGCAGGCUCGAAUCCGGGAGAGGGGAUGUGGAAUUCCAGGUGUAGCGGUGAAAUGACUGUGAGAUAUCUGGAGGAACACCGGUGGCGAAGGCGGCGAUCCUGGGAC